CGCUGGCUGACACAGGAGUCCCGACUCCUCCAAUCAGAAUACAAGAACUUGCACUAGGGUGGGGACACGGGCUGCGUACUCCAAUAACAGUGGACAAGCGUGGGUGACGGACGGGUCACGCUCCUUCCCUUAACUCGGCACACGCCGCGGAGGCGGAGCUUUUCCCAUUCUUCUGAGGUGGGGGGUGCGGCGUCAUCAGUUUUUUUCCCGUGAUCCACUGCGGGGAAAGGCGGUAGCGCUGCUGCAGGAGCAGCAGCAUUGACGGCGGCUCUUCCAUCCGGGUCUUCGGUGGCGCUGUCCCGGCUGGGUCAUCCUUCUGCAGUUGAAGGAGAAACAUUGGCCUCAGAUGUGGUGGCUGGACUUGGCAUUGAAGAUGAUAAAGGAAAGUACUUGGAAACAGUUUUAUAGGGUUUGUAAAUCCUUGGGGGUAGUUGGUUUGUUAAGCAGUUUGCUGAACUUCUCCAGCUGUCUUGUGUGUGGGAAAGUGGGAAGACAGAAAGCACAAAGUUUCAGGAGAACGGAAGGAAGCUCAGAGAUGGUAGACUGCCUUCUGGGGUACCUAUUAAUUGAAUAAACAUACUGUAGAUUGAUAGAAGCAAUUUAUUUUUUUAGAAUUUGAUUUAUAUUUAGUUGUUAAAAUUGAUAUUACCAAACUACGUUUCAUUAAUGGGCAUUAAUCAGUUGAAAGUGUAAUCUGUGGUUAACAUUAGGUCAGAUAAAUUUGAGUUUAUGAAUGGCAUUGAUAAACAGUAUAGAGGAGCUAGUGAUAUAUCUUUUAUAUACUUGAUGCAUUUUGUAGUAGUCCUCCACCAACCUGAUGUCCUCCAUAUGUACCAACUGUUUCAGCUAUAACUCAUUGUCCCUGACUAAUGAUUGUGCUGUUUGGGGCUAAUGUGCAUUGAGAGUCCAAAAAAUCUUGAAGGACACUGGGAUGGGGAAGGCUGCUGUAGUGCUACACUGCAGUAAAAUUUGUAUUUUGCUAAGAUGCAAGUGCUGAUCUAUGUAAACAUAAUAAAAUUGGCUUUGAUGCUGGAGAUGUUCAUUCAGUUUAAGAACUUGCAAAACUGAAUUUAGGGUGCUUGAGACAAUUCCAUCUCUGACUAAACAGGGUUGGAACUGACAAGAAGCUAAACAGAAGACUAGAGAAUAAAGUUUGUAUAGUUGGGUCAUUAAAUUAUGUGUGUUUCAAGAAAUAAUAAACUAGUGCAAAGUACGAUAAAACUAUGUAAGGCAAAGUAGGGCCAAAUUGUUACUUUUGAUUUUAAUGUGAAUGACACCAGUGCUGCAUCCACUGUUUCUUCUUGUCUGGUUCUUACUGCUGUUAAAUUUCUUGGAGUAACACAUUAGGGCGUUGUGGGAAAUCCAAAUGGUGAGUGUUUCACAGCCACUUUAGAUUAUUCCACUGCUACUGCCAAUAAACCUGUUUUGGGUGUGUCUCCAUUGGUAUACUUCACCCAUCUUCUUCCCAGGGCAUGUGUGGCUGGCAGGAGGCAUUUUUAGGUCUUAGCAGAUCAGCGCCUCUUCUCAUCUGCCCUGUGAACACUCCCCCAUUUUCCUCUCUGCCAUUAGAGUACCGACAGUGGAGGCCUAAUACUGAUAGUCCUCUUCGUAAGAGCUAGGAGGGGACUUUUAUUCUGGGAAUGGGCCUCCCUCUCCACCUCCACCUGAAACUUUUUAUGGCUAUCCACACAAAAAUACAUAAUUGCUUUAAAAUAUUUUAGGUGCUAUUAUUUGAGUCAACAUCAAGGCCCAGUGCUUCGAUUUCUGUGCAUGCCUAAUGAAAACAAUUUAAGAAAAUGCACAAGAAAUUGUAGAUGUUUUAAUUAAAAAAGCAGUUGUUUAGUAAGGAGAUGUGACUGAAUCAUACUGUAAAAUGAUAUUUUUAAAAGUCAUUUUAACUGCAUAUGAUAAAUGCUUCCAGUUAUUUUUGUUCCAAGUACUACUUAUAUGGAGUAGGCUUUUUGAGGUUUAGAUACUGCUGUGAUAUAAUGCUCUAGAAAUUUUAUUUUAAAAUUAUAUUUCCUUGCUUUGAGGGUAGUGGGUUGCUUGUUUCUUCUGUGAAUGGGAGAACUCCUUACAUUAGUGCAAGGGAUGAAUAUGCAGAGAAGGCUCCCAAAGAAGAAAGAGGAGGUAAUUUUUUGCUGAGUCUUUGUAACCUCGCACCACCUCUUCCACUGUUCCAGAAGCUCUCUGAAAACCAGAAUUUUGUAGAGGGGAAUAGUAAAAAAUCAUCUUGCCCCCUCAUCUUUCAGUGGGUGUAUCCUGUGGAUAGAGUUCCACUCAUGGGAACUCUGGAUCCAAGCCAUUAUAACUAAUAACCCCCCCCCCCCAAAUGAGAUAGCAACAUCAUUCUAUUCUCAGCAGUAAAGAGAAAUUGAACCAAAUUAUACCUUCUUUUUUGUGCUGAUGAUUCAGCCAUUCAGCCAUGUGGGAUGAUAUUUCCUAAUAGCUUAUCCCUGAGUACAUUGAACAUAAGCCAGUCCCCCCCCCCCCCGAAGCCCUCCUUGGUAUGUCAUGAAGAGCUUCAUAUAGCAAUCAAAAAAUUUUUAAUAUUCAAAAGCUAAUUACAUCAUGGAGAUUUUUGGCUUCUUCCAGUAAAGGAGUAAGAAUGUUCUUGAGUUCCAAAAAUGUAGGGAACUAAAAAAAACAACUUGUUGCAUUUAAUUACAUUCCAAAACUCACUUGUCAAAUUCCGUAUUGAUUUCUGAACUGCAUCUUCCUUUAGAAUAAGCUGGAGGAUUGAUUUCCUGCAUUACUUGUGUAAUAUUAUGACACUUACCAUAUAGAUGAAAUUUAUAUAUUUGGAGGGUUUUUCAUUAACAUUUCUUCCUCCUUUCAGGUUUGAGUGGGGAACAGGAAGAAGAAUAUUGUAUUGUAUUUCCUUUGCUUGAACAUUUACAGUCUACUGAAUCUUGCUAUCCAGAGAAGUGUCUACGGUUUAACCAUUCUUUUAUCUAUCAGCUAUUUGUUUUGUGUGUGUGUGUGUGUGUGUGUGUUAAAAAGUAUUUAAAUGACUUUACCUGUUAGAAGCAUUCAGGUAAACCUGUUCUUUUAAAGAACAUAAUCAACAUAUCUUAAGUGAAGAUACCUGCGCUGUGGGAUGAGGUAGUAGGUUGUAUAGUUUUUAGGGUCAUACCCACCACUGGGAGAUAACUAUACAGUCUACUGUCUUUCCUAAAGAGGCAGACAAUCAUCAGUGACAUCUGUAUGGCUUUGUUACUGGCUAUAUGAUUACAACUGGGAGGCCAUAAUGAUGGCUCAUCAGACACACUUGUCAAGGAAAUGUGGACUCAAAGAGUUGGAUCCUGAGGAACAUGAAUGGAAAGAAACUUUUGGAAAGGGACUUCUAUCAUCUCCUCCCCAUCUGUUCCUUCUUAGUCAGGGGGCCUCCUGAAAGGUGUGAACUAUAAUGUGGAGAGCAGACCUGAAUUGGCCAGGGGCACCUUGUGCAAAGUGUGCCUUUACCCAAUGUUGUUGUUUUGUCUUCUCUGAGCCCACUUGUGCUCUAUUCUGCACUGUUCCGGAUAUCCUUCCAGAAAGGCUUUUUGUGAAGCACAGGUGAGAGGAGAUGGAGAUGUCCCCAUCUGCAAGUAUGUUUCAGGAUCCAGUCCAUGGGCAGGUAGACUCUGAACAAAUUAACUGGAAAUAGAACCCUUCUAAAUACAUUUCUCUUAUCAGGUUGAGGUAGUAGAUUGUAUAGUUGUAGGGCAGUUAUUUUGCCCUCUUCAGGAGAUAACUAUACAAUCUAUUGCCUUCCUUGAGGAGUAAAAUUCUGCAGUGUUUUUGCUGAGUUUACCAGCAACCUUAGUGGGACCUCUCUUAAUGGAAAAUAAAUGCAAUGAUUUGCACAGAAGAUCUGUAACUAAAUGAAACUCUAUUUUUCAGCAUUAAUUUGAUCGUUUCAGGUAUCUGCAUCUUGAAAAUAUGUGCUACUUGGUUUGAGCUGAGUUGGAUAAAAAAACAAGUGUUUUGUUUAAGUUUAAUUGGAAGGAUAUUAAGUGUGUAUACUAUUAAUGAUAUAACAAAGGACUAACAGUGAAUGGCUUUGUACUUACGUAGCAAGUGGUUUACUUCUAUAGUAACUGAACAUUUGUGAUACAACAUCUUGCCUUAUGUUGUAUAAAGUUUGUCUUUCACUACAGCUAAUCUUUUUCUUUUCUUUUUUGAAGGAUUGCUGAAGACGUGGUGGGUUCCUAGGAAGAGGUAGUAGGUUGCAUAGUUUUAGGGCAGUGGUUUUGCCCGCAAGGAGUUAACUAUACAACCUGCUGCCUUUCUUAGGGCUUUAAUAUUACAACAGGAUGAUAUUGGCUCUUCCUCUACUAGGUUGUGGUUUAAGGUUUGGAAGACUUGCUAGAAAAGUUUUGUUCACUGAGUAAGCCAGAAAAUGUGUGGAAACCUUGAGCUACCUUUUAGCCUACAGAAUGUAUCCUUGGCUUUUUUGCUAAGAGAAUUCUAUUGUACAAAGUAUUCUAUCCAAACUGAGUAGAAAAGAGAAUGGUGUAAUGGUUUAAACUCUUAAGGCUCCAAAGUGUCAUAUGUUUAAGAAUUACUUAAGAAAGUAAACUAGGCUGCUCAAUAAAUUGCUUUGUAGUAGUACAUGCUGUUUCCUGUCUUAUGUUGCCUUUCUCCAACACCCCAGUAGAUAAAACUGGAAAAUGAGAUUUUAAUGAACAGUGUUGAUUAUCUAACUGUAGUGUUCACAUGUGUCCAAUUUUUGAACAUGGCAUUUUGGUAAGAGUGUGUAAUUCUCCUUGAAGCAGCUAUUCCACAUAAGCUGUGCUGACCUUGCCAGGGCCUUAGAAAUUGAUUGUGUGGUCCUACCCCCACAUUUAGGAGUUCUCACAUGUCUGUAUUGUUUAGCUGUGAAACCAACUUUGAAUGAGGGUUUUGUCCAAUGCUGCACCUAUGAAGUUUUGCUCAGGCAAUUGGAAUUCCCUUGCUCUCCUGCUGCACUCUCAAAAUCUCAUCUGGAGCAGAUUGAGAGUGUACAAGCACUUCGGUAUUUCAAAUUUCAGCAGUGCCCUGUGCAAGGUCAAAAUUUGGCACCCCACCUCUAGCCUUCUCUUCUGCUCAAUUCACUACUUCAUAGUUGUGGUGCCCCCCUGGGCGCCCUUAAUCUGCCUCUAAUGCAAGGAGGCUGGGGGAAAACUUUCAGUUCUAGCAGAGCAGCAAUGUUGGAUACGACCUUGAGUGCUUUAUCUUAGAAACUGAACUGAGGUGUACACUAUGGUAGACUGGACCCAUGUUAUUUCCCCUCCCCCCCAAACUUCAGAAAAUAUUUACUAAUCUGGUCCAUUGUACACUCACAUUAAAGGUAAAGAUAAAGGGGCCCAUGACCAUCAGGUCCAGUCAUGUCCGGCUCUGGGGUUGCGGCGCUCAUCUCGUUCUAUAGGCCGAGGGAGCCGGCGUUUGUCCACAGACAGCUUCCGGGUCAUGUGGCCAGCAUGACAAAGCUGCUUAUGGGGAACCUGAGCAGCGCAUGGAAACGCUGUUUACCUUUCCAACUUGCACUUUGAUGUGCUUUCGAACUGCUAGGUGGGCAGGAGCUGGGACCGAGCAACAGGAGCUCACCCCGUUGCAGGGAUUCGAACCGCCGACCUUCUGAUCAGCAAGCCCUAGACUCUGUGGUUUAACCCACAGCACCACCUGGGUCCCUACACUCACAUUAUAUCUCAGCAUUUAGUAAAAUUACUGCCAUUUUCCAGACUGAGAUGGGAUUUCAUGAAAGUCAUGUGUAUUUUUAAAGAGGAAGGAAAAAGAUAACUGACCACCACUUAAAUAGUUUAUUGUUGAUAUAAAAACAUCUAAGCUUGGAUUUCACUGCAUGCUUUUGUUUUCAAGUGGCAUAAAAUGUUAUAAAUCAUACUGACAUUUUGUCUCUAGAUUACACAUGGGCUGCAUCAUGUGAUGAUGAAUUCACUUUAGAGUUAAUUGACAGGCAAACAAAACUAACAUGAGACUGUAAAAGGAGAGAAACAACAUGUCUUACAAGUUAAAGCAGUAUGCUCUUAAGAUGUCUCCAUUUCCAGCCACCACACCAACAAUGCUCACAUCAUCACAAGCCACACUUCUAAAGCCACUAGGAGAGGAAAAAAUAUAUAGCUCACAGUACUUGGCACAAUUCAGUACUUAAUUUAACUACUUUGACAUAUUGAAACAAACUCAUUCUGUUUUAGUACGAGAAGUUAAAUUGCAGGUUUUUGAAAUAUUGCAGUGAUUUUUUUUAUGUUGCCCUGCUAAGCAUAGCCCCAGUUUUGCCCUGUUUUCAAAGCUGUUACUACAGUCUUUUUUAAACCUGAGUAGUAGGUUGGUUCUGUGUUCAUUACAAUGGAAUUGGUUUAUCCCUUGGCUGUAAGCUUCACUGCUUAUAAAGAUAAAAUUGGGGGAUGAGGAAAGCCAUGGAUGACACAGGCAAAAAACAGUGCACAUAAGAAGAAGAGGAAGAGUUUGGAUUUGAUAUCCCGCUUUUAUCACUACCCUAAGGAGUCUCAAAGCGGCUAACAUUCUCCUUUCCCUUCCUCUCCCACAACACACACUCAGUGAGGUGAGUGGGGCUGAGAGACUUCAGAGAAGUGUGGCUAGCCCAAGGUCACCCAGCAGCUGCAUGUGGAGGAGCGGAGACACGAACCCGGUUCCCUAGAUUACGAGUCUGCCGCUCUUAACCACUAUACCACACUGGCUUUUAUCUACCCCUCAUGGUCAAACCGGGGAAAUGAUAUGUUGAACUUUGUGUCAAGGGAUCCAGUCAUAAGGGAAAGCAAAGCAAUCCCCAGAGCCUCUAUAUAAUUCACAUAUCGCUGUCUUUAAACCCUGGCCCAUAGCUCCUAUGAUGUAGUAUCACUCUAGACUGAUUUUCAGAAAGCAAUUGAACUGAAGUCUUCCAUAUAAAUACAGUUCAAACUAGCAUUUGGGGUCACAGAUGUACUUUUAGUCUCAAAUCUGCCUUCUGAUAUAGAUGCAUUUAGCAAGAAAGUGAUAGGUGCUCUGAUCUUACUGCAAUUUGAAAAAUGUUUUAAACUUACUUUGACCAUCUGUGGGAUCCUCCUAGUAAGUGGUAGCGACCGUUCAGCAAAGAAGAUUUGUUGUCAUUUUUCCAGGAGUACACACGAAGUGAGAGGUCCAUGGAUGAUGUGACAACAUGAAAAGGAUCCUGGUUGGGAGUGGGUGGAUGCAUAUUAAAGCCUUUUAGUUAAAGAAUAUUUAGUGUAGAGAACAGAAAUAAAUAAUAGUAGUAAGUAAUAGUAACUGUAUAUACCACCCAUAUUGAUGUAAUAGAAUUGUGGUGAUCUUUGAAAGCCAUUAAUUCAGUUCCUGACAGAGUAUAUAAUUUCAGCUCUGGUCCAGUUGCUAAAAGAAUAGUUUGUUUGCCAAAUCCUUUCAUAAUCGUCUCUCCAAUCCGUAGUUGUGUUGGUAACGUGAAGUCUGCAACCUGUUGAGCUUUUCAUAAAAAACAUUUUAGCACUGAAAUUUCUGCUCUGUUUACUGUGAAGAGUACUGCAACAGUGCUCACCAGUAUAUUAGUUAGGUCACGGUUCUCUGAAUUUUGAGCUACAUAUUGUGUAUCGAGAACAUCAUGCUGAUUCAGACCAGUUCUGUCUACUGUGCUACUCUGGACAGGAAUGAAAACAAGAUAGGGAACACUGAUUAAGAAAACAAGUUGCCUAAAGAAAUAAAUUUGUCAAUUGGGUAUUAUCUGUUGAGCUUGACAAAACAUGGGUAUAUAAAAUUAGGGACAUAGGAAGGCCAUUGGUCUGUCUAGUUCAGUGUUGUCAACACUGGCUGGCAGCAUUUCUGCAGAUUUUCAGGCAGUUGUCUCUGCCAAACCUAAGUGGAGAAGUUGGAGACUGAACCUGGACCACCUACUUCCACAGCAUAUGCUCUAGCACUGAACUGUCCAAUGCAUUUUGUUAUUCAGCUUUGACACAGUGCGGCCAAGUCCCUGCUUUCAUGGUUUACUGUGCACAGAAAGACAAAGGCUGAAAUCCCUUCCAUGUCUAUUCAGAAAUAAGCCCCAUUGAAUUUAGUGAGCUUAUUUGCACAUAAGUGGGUAGUAGUAAUAAUAAUAAUAAUAAUAAUAAUAAUAAUAAUAAUAAUAAUAAUAAUAAUUUAUUUAUACCCCGCCCAUCUGACUGGGUUUCUCCAGUCACUCUGGGUGGCUCCCAAUCGAAUAUUUAAAUCACAAUACAGCAUUAAACAUUAAAAACUUCCUAUACAUGGCUGCCUUCAGAUGUCUUUUAAAAGUAGGAUAGUUGCUUAUUUCCUUGACAUCUGAUGGGAGGGCGUUCCACAUGGCAGGCACCACCACCGAGAAGGCUCUGCCUGGCUCCCUGCAACCUUACCUCUCACAGUGAGGGAACCGCCAGAUGGCCCUUGGAGUUGGACCUCAGUGUCUGGGCAUAAAGAUGGGGGUGGAGACGCUCCUUAAGGUAUACUGGGCCAAGGCCAUUUAGAGUGUUAAAGGUCAGCACCAACACUUUGAAUUGUGCUCGGAAACGUACUGGGAGCCAAUGCAGAUCUCUCAGGUGUUAUAAGUCUCGGCCACUCCCAGUCACCAGUCUAGCUGCUGCGUUCUGGAUUAAUUGCAGUUUCCAAGUCACCUUCAAAGGUAGCCCUACGUAGAGCGCAUUGCAGUAGUGCAAGCGGGAGAUAACUAGAGCAUGCACCACUUUGACGAGACAGUCUGUGAGCAGGUAGGGUCUCUGCCUGCAUACCAGAUGGAGCUGGUAGACAGCUGCUGUUGGAAUUGCAACCAACAUUUAAAAACAUGCUGUUCCUCUUCACCUAUACAAGAAAGGUCCACCUGACUUAUUUCCUUUUCAAUAGCAAUUGAGUUCAGGAUGUUUUCUGGAUUGCUACUAAAUAAAAGGAUAAAUUACCUUCUGCUACACAACAGUUUGAAGAAACUUACCUGUAAUACUCAUUUUAUAUUUAGACUUAUUCUCAAUGUGUAUAUCUAAGCUCACAAUGUGACAAUUCGUCUCUUCAUCAUGCAGUGCUGCUACUCUUGCUGGUUCUGCUGGUAACCAGCAGGUGUCAAGGCACUGCCCUCUGAUCGGAAGAGGACUAGAUAACUGUUCAUCAUCUACAGAAUUAGUUGCAGAAUGUGUAUAAACCACCUGUUACAUAUACAAAAACAAGCAUUAACACACACAAACUGGGAUCCAAAGAGCUGCUUAUGAUAUACUUGUAUAGCCCAAGUGAGGAUUUUCACUUUGGAAUUUAUGCAAAAAAUUAUUUUGAGCUUUGAAUUACAGAGCUUCAUGGCACAUCACAAAUGGUGGUUGAUACUUCUUUCAGGAUGGUAGUAUCCCUACAGGCCCUCCAAGUGUCUUGCCACAGGGAUGGAAGGGGAAAAUGACUUUGCCAUUGUGGGUCAAACCAUACAAGGUUCAGCCUCUCCCAUUCCCCAUCUCUCUGGAGAGGCAGGAAGGGGAAGCUCUGUUAAUGGGACAUUUUUCUUUUGCCCAAGCAAAGAUUGCUCGUUAUGUGGCAUGGAGAUUUGAGUGGAGUUUCGUUGACAAUAAUAGCAGGUUUAUGAGAAAAAAGAAGCCACAAUAUAGUGGUAACUUUGCUAGGACCAACUAAAUGUCACAACACAGCGAGCAAGUUUUCAAGCUCUCCAGAACUCUUUAGGCUAGAUGGGAAGCCUAAAGGUGUAACCUCAUGGAAAGGGGGAGGGAAGGACACAAAUACUAGGCAAAAUGUUGACACACCAAAGUACAGUAGUCAGUUUGUAA
Molecule: long non-coding RNA, 9737 nt
Organism: Zootoca vivipara (common lizard)
Lineage: Eukaryota; Metazoa; Chordata; Lepidosauria; Squamata; Lacertidae
Source: RefSeq, a predicted model, not a curated record